AUGCACAGAAUUGUAAUUAAAAACUUUAUCCAUAAAGUUUGGGUUUGCAUUUCUUAUUUUAUUAGUCUAUCUAUCUAUCUAUCUAUCUAUCUAUCGAUCAUCAGUCUAUUUUUAGAUGCAGGAUCUUACUAUACAUGCCCUUGCUGUCCUGCAACUCACCAUGUAGACCAGGCUGGCCUCACAAAAGAUGCACCUGUCUCUGCCUUCCUAGAAUUAUGAUUAAAGGCGUGACCAACCAUGUCUGGUCAGAAUAUUCUUUUAUUUAUUUAUUUAUUUAUUUAUUUAUUUUGGUUUUUUGAGACAGGGUUUCUCUAUAUAGCUCUGGCUGUCCUGGAACUCACUCUGUAGACCAGGCUGGCCUCGAACUCAGAAAUCCGCCUGCCUCUGCCUCCCAAGUGCUGGGAUUAAAGGCAUGCGCCACCACUGCCCGGCCUAUUCUUUGAUUUAUAAUGCUUGUGUUUUCCACAGAACUUUAUUUUGCAUGUUUUUUAGGAUUUAACUAUAUCAUUAUCUUCAAAAUUAAAGCAGUAUUAUUCCCCUCUAUUCACUUAAAAUUUUUUUUCAUAAUAUAUUUUGGUCAUGGUUUCUCAACUCCUCCCAGAUCCUCCUAUCCAAACAACUUCCUGUAUGUUCUCUCUCUC
This 641-nucleotide long non-coding RNA is filed under the name Mus musculus (house mouse). RNAcentral describes it as "long non-coding RNA chr11:75005181-75005822". Lineage: Eukaryota; Metazoa; Chordata; Mammalia; Rodentia; Muridae. The record is from RNAcentral.